AUCGACCUCAUAGAGUCAAAUGACUGCAACAAAGUUGUUAGGAAAAAGCAUAUAAUUUCAUUUAAAAUAAGAAAGUAGUUCCUAAAAAGGGGAGAAAUCUCCCAACUAAGGGAAAAAUUUUCUAGAGGGAGAAACACUUUCCCAUUUGGAACCAAUGCCUCAAUUGGGAGAAAACUUACCAUGCAGGUGGAAGUCCCGAAAAUAGCACCAGAAAUCCCUCAAAUGAGAGAUUUCCUUAACAAUAACAACAUUUCCUAAAUAAGAGAAAUCCCUUAGGUUGAAAGAAAAUUCCCCAAGUUGGAAAAUUUUCUAAUAUGGAGAAAUUCCCAAAAUUAGAGGAACUCCAAAUAGAUACACUCCAUAUAACA
RNAcentral lists this long non-coding RNA (368 nucleotides) under Carica papaya (papaya). RNAcentral describes it as "long non-coding RNA (CPAP_LNC005110)". Lineage: Eukaryota; Viridiplantae; Streptophyta; Magnoliopsida; Brassicales; Caricaceae. The record is from RNAcentral.